GUCUCAAUGCUGUAGUUAUGUGAAUGGUCCUUUGACCUGUGAUGGUAUGACUGUUCACAGUGAGCUUGUUGAAAUUUGAUUGACACAUAAAUAUGAUCUCAAUGAGUCUUUGUAGUAGAUGUUGAUGAUAGUUAGUCCACCGUAGGAGUAGGAUGUGUAUCUAGAUGGAAUCUAUUGACCUUAAUAGAAAAGGGUAGUC
Molecule: long non-coding RNA, 199 nt
Filed under: Elaeis guineensis (African oil palm)
Lineage: Eukaryota; Viridiplantae; Streptophyta; Magnoliopsida; Arecales; Arecaceae
Description: long non-coding RNA (EGUI_LNC058793)
Source: RNAcentral